UCAAUGCUUGGGCAAGGUGUCCAUAAUUCUAAGCAUGAGGCAAUGUAUUUAUAGGCUAGGCAAUUGAUUUCGACACACUUCCAUCAAAAUGCCAAAAAUAGAAAUUCUCACUUGCAUGGAUGCAUGGGCGUGUGAUAGGCCAAUGAAGUGAUGUUAAAAGGUCGGAAGUUGAUCAUGAGCAAUUCUGAAAGUGUGUCAUGAAGUCAUGCAAUUGGAAUUGGGAAAAGUUAAUGUGAUUCAUCCAAAUGGAACCUUGAAGAAAA
This 263-nucleotide long non-coding RNA is filed under the name Lathyrus oleraceus (garden pea). Its description in RNAcentral is "Pisum sativum (pea) long non-coding RNA (PSAT_LNC020546)". The record is from RNAcentral. Lineage: Eukaryota; Viridiplantae; Streptophyta; Magnoliopsida; Fabales; Fabaceae.